CAGUAGCCGCGGUAAUACAGAGGGUGCGAGCGUUAAUCGGAUUUACUGGGCGUAAAGCGUGCGUAGGCGGCUUUUUAAGUCGGAUGUGAAAUCCCUGAGCUUAACUUAGGAAUUGCAUUCGAUACUGGGAAGCUAGAGUAUGGGAGAGGAUGGUAGAAUUCCAGGUGUAGCGGUGAAAUGCGUAGAGAUCUGGAGGAAUACCGAUGGCAAAGGCAGCCAUCUGGCCUAAUACUGACGCUGAGGUACGAAAGCAUGGGGAGCAAACAGGAUUAGAUACCCCCGUAGUCCCUGUCUCUUAUAC
This 301-nucleotide ribosomal RNA is filed under the name uncultured bacterium. RNAcentral's name for it is "partial 16S ribosomal RNA". It matches the Rfam family "Bacterial small subunit ribosomal RNA", at positions 509 to 807 of the family's 1533-position model. The record is from RNAcentral.